RNAcentral lists this ribosomal RNA (301 nucleotides) under uncultured bacterium. Its description in RNAcentral is "partial 16S ribosomal RNA". It matches the Rfam family "Bacterial small subunit ribosomal RNA", at positions 509 to 808 of the family's 1533-position model. The record is from RNAcentral.
CAGUCGCCACGGUAAUACAGAGGGUGCGAGCGUUAAUCGGAUUUACUGGGCGUAAAGCGUGCGUAGGCGGCUUCUUAAGUCGGAUGUGAAAUCCCUGAGCUUAACUUAGGAAUUGCAUUCGAUACUGGGAAGCUAGAGUAUGGGAGAGGAUGGUAGAAUUCCAGGUGUAGCGGUGAAAUGCGUAGAGAUCUGGAGGAAUACCGAUGGCGAAGGCAGCCAUCUGGCCUAAUACUGACGCUGAGGUACGAAAGCAUGGGGAGCAAACAGGAUUAGAUACCCCCGUAGUCCCUGUCUCUUAACA